Molecule: ribosomal RNA, 2136 nt
Filed under: Triticum aestivum (bread wheat)
Lineage: Eukaryota; Viridiplantae; Streptophyta; Magnoliopsida; Poales; Poaceae
Description: partial small subunit ribosomal RNA
Source: RNAcentral
AUGGCGGCCGCCGCAUUGGCCGGGCUCCUCGUCGCCCUCGCCGCCGCGACCGCGGGGGCCACCACCGAGUCCUCCGACGCCGCCGCUCUGGGGAAUCUCUACACCUCCUGGAACAGCCCGCCGCAGCUGGCCGGCUGGUCGGCCGGCGGCGGCGACCCCUGCGGCGCGGGGUGGCAGGGCGUCUCCUGCACCGGCUCAGGCGUCACCGAAAUCAAGCUUCCUGGGACAGGGCUGAACGGCUCUCUGGGCUACGAACUCUCCAAUCUGUUCUCACUCAAAACACUGGAUUUGAGCAACAACCAAAUUCAAGGUUCAAUUCCUUACCAGCUGCCACCGAAUCUCACAUAUCUGAAUCUGGCGACCAACAAUUUCUCUGGCAAUCUCCCAUACUCCAUAUCCAACAUGGCUUCGAUUGAGUACCUCAACCUCAGCCACAACUCACUGGCCCAACAAAUAGGCGAUUUGUUUGGAAACCUCACUUCACUUUCAGAGUUGGACGUGUCUUUCAACAAACUGACAGGGGAUCUUCCAACUUCUAUUGGCUCUCUAUCAAAUAUUUCUAGUCUCUAUAUGCAAAACAAUCAGUUAACAGGUUCUGUCAAUGUUCUAAGUGGUCUAGGCCUUACUACCCUAAACAUUGCAAACAACAAUUUCAGUGGCUGGAUACCAAAAGAAUUCAGCUCAAUCCCAGACGUGAUACUUAAUGGAAACUCAUUCCUGAAUGGACCUGCUCCUCCACCACCACCUUUCAUGCCACCACCCCCUAGAAGGCCGCGCAGUCGUCCUAACCGUUCUGGGGGAAGUGGAAAUGCUCCAAAAGGCUCUGAGAGCUCCACUAGUCAAGGUGGGAAGAAUGGUCUGCAGACAGCUUCGCUUGUGGGGAUAAUUGUUGGCUCAGUACUUGCUGCUUUGUGUGUGCUUCUUCUUUUGGUAUUAUGCAUUCGUAAAUCUCGGAAAAGGAAGGAUGAUAGCAGCACAGAAUCCAAAGAUUUUGUAGGUCCACUAUCAGUGAACAUAGAGGAAGUAUCUAACAGGGAAAUCCCAGAGCAAGGUCUUGAAAAUACGGCUAUGAAAGUCCUGCCUGCUGAGAAAAUGACUCCCGAGAGGGUUUAUGGUAAAACUGGUUCUAUGAGAAAGACAAAGGUUCCCAUAACUGCGACACCUUACACCGUGGCUUCCCUCCAAGUUGCGACGAAUAGCUUCUGUCAAGAUUCCCUUCUGGGAGAGGGUUCACUUGGUCGUGUUUACAAGGCUGAUUUCCCCAAUGGGAAGGUUAUGGCUGUUAAGAAGGUAGACAGUGCCGCUAUUUCCUUGCAGGAAGAAGAUGAUUUCCUUGAGGUUGUAUCAAGUAUGUCACGACUUAGGCAUCCAAACAUCGUGCCGCUUACAGGGUACUGUGUGGAGCAUGCCCAAAGGCUUCUUGUUUAUGAGUACAUUGGAAACGCAACGCUGCAUGAUAUGCUGCACUUCUCUGAUGAGAUGAGCAGAAGACUUACAUGGAACAUCCGUGUAAGAAUAGCACUAGGCACUGCUCGGGCAUUAGAAUACCUGCAUGAGGUUUGCUUGCCCUCUGUUGUUCAUAGAAAUUUUAAGUCCGCAAACAUUCUACUUGAUGAAGAGCAUAAUGCACAUUUAUCUGACUGUGGGCUCGCUGCCUUGACACCCAAUACUGAGAGACAGGUUUCUACUGAAGUGGUUGGCUCAUUUGGAUACAGUGCCCCAGAGUUUUCCAUGUCAGGAAUUUAUACUGUAAAGAGUGACGUGUACAGUUUUGGAGUAGUGAUGCUAGAGCUAUUGACUGGAAGGAAGCCGCUAGACAGUUCUAGAGAGAGGUCAGAACAGUCUCUUGUUAGAUGGGCUACGCCUCAGCUUCAUGAUAUCGAUGCACUUUCUAAGAUGGUUGAUCCAGCAUUAAAUGGAAUGUACCCUGCGAAAUCGCUCUCCCGCUUUGCAGACAUAAUUGCACUUUGUGUUCAGCCGGAGCCAGAGUUCCGUCCUCCUAUGUCUGAGGUUGUCCAGCAACUUGUGCGCCUGAUGCAGAGGGCUAGCAUAGUAAGGCGGCAAUCAGGUGAGGAACUAGGGUUUUCUUACAGGGCUCCAGAACGUGAAGGAGAAACAAGAGACAUUUCCUUCUGA